GAUUAUCAAUCUUGGAGGUUAAGGUAUUAAAUUUUUUUUAUUGAGCAUGUGUAGUUCAUUGAUUCCCAUUUUUUAGAGCACGAAAACCAAGCAAAAAACUCAAAGAUUAGCCAGAAUAAUGAGAUCUAUAGGGUGUGGAGGAUAUAUAUUAACAUCAGUUAGUGUCUACUUAAUUUUUCAAACUCUAAACCAUUAUCUAGCUUUUUGAAAGUGUUAACAUCUCAUGUCACGGGCUAACUAUUUUAAAUUUCACCAAUGUUGUAAGGGAAGAGGUAAUAGACAAAGUUAAUUUUUUCGUAUUUUAUGUUAAUUCGACUUAGCAUCAAUUUGUGGUUGAUAUGCAUGGAUACUCGUGACUCCAUCUAGAGUACGGGUCAUUCUAGUAUAG
RNAcentral lists this long non-coding RNA (388 nucleotides) under Carica papaya (papaya). RNAcentral's name for it is "long non-coding RNA (CPAP_LNC011939)". The record is from RNAcentral. Lineage: Eukaryota; Viridiplantae; Streptophyta; Magnoliopsida; Brassicales; Caricaceae.